RNAcentral lists this ribosomal RNA (468 nucleotides) under uncultured bacterium. RNAcentral's name for it is "partial 16S ribosomal RNA". It matches the Rfam family "Bacterial small subunit ribosomal RNA", at positions 28 to 507 of the family's 1533-position model. The record is from RNAcentral.
GACGAACGCUGGCGGCGUGCUUAACACAUGCAAGUCGAACGGAAAGGCCCUGCUUUUGUGGGGUGCUCGAGUGGCGAACGGGUGAGUAACACGUGAGUAACCUGCCCUUGACUUUGGGAUAACUUCAGGAAACUGGGGCUAAUACCGGAUAGGAGCUCCUGCUGCACGGUGGGGGUUGGAAAGUUUCGGCGGGUUGGGAUGGACUCGCGGCUUAUCAGCUUGUUUGUGGGGGAGUGGCUUACCCAGGCUUUGCCGGGUAGCCGGCCUGAGAGGGUGACCGGCCACAUGGGGACUGAGAUACGGCCCAGACUCCUACGGGAGGCAGCAGUGGGGAAUAUUGCACAAUGGGCGGAAGCCUGAUGCAGCAACGCCGCGUGCGGGAUGACGGCCUUCGGGUUGUAAACCGCUUUCGCCUGUGACGAAGCGUGAGUGACGGUAAUGGGUAAAGAAGCACCGGCUAACUACGUG